This 104-nucleotide ribosomal RNA is filed under the name uncultured bacterium. RNAcentral describes it as "partial 16S ribosomal RNA". The record is from RNAcentral.
UACGUUCCCGGGUCUUGUACACACCGCCCGUCAAGCCAUGAAAGUCACCAAUACCUCGACGUAUUGCCUUGCGCAGUCCUAAGGUAGGGGAGAUGAUUGGGGUU